Molecule: ribosomal RNA, 409 nt
Filed under: uncultured Actinomycetes bacterium
Lineage: Bacteria; Bacillati; Actinomycetota; Actinomycetes
Description: bacterial SSU rRNA
Rfam family: Bacterial small subunit ribosomal RNA
Source: RNAcentral
GAGUUUGAUCGUGGCUCAGGACGAACGCUGGCGGCGUGCUUAACACAUGCAAGUCGAACGAUGAACCACUUCGGUGGGGAUUAGUGGCGAACGGGUGAGUAACACGUGGGCAAUCUGCCCUUCACUCUGGGACAAGCCCUGGAAACGGGGUCUAAUACCGGAUAACACUCUUACGGGCAUCUGUGAGGGUUAAAAGCUCCGGCGGUGAAGGAUGAGCCCGCGGCCUAUCAGCUUGUUGGUGAGGUAACGGCUCACCAAGGCGACGACGGGUAGCCGGCCUGAGAGGGCGACCGGCCACACUGGGACUGAGACACGGCCCAGACUCCUACGGGAGGCAGCAGUGGGGAAUAUUGCACAAUGGGCGAAAGCCUGAUGCAGCGACGCCGCGUGAGGGAUGACGGCCUCGGUU